This 492-nucleotide ribosomal RNA is filed under the name uncultured bacterium. RNAcentral describes it as "partial 16S ribosomal RNA". It matches the Rfam family "Bacterial small subunit ribosomal RNA", at positions 29 to 507 of the family's 1533-position model. The record is from RNAcentral.
AGUGAACGCUGGCGGUAUGCCUAACACAUGCAAGUCGAACGACCGGACAGUAAGCGUUCGCUUUUACCGGUGGCGAGUGGCGGAUGGGUGACGCAUACAUCACCUUCUUCUAUUACUUGGGUGAUUACGUAAGGCCACUUACGCUAAUGCCUCAUAUGUCCAACGGCUUAAUUCAGUGGUGCAUCGCACCUUUCGCGAUCGUAUGAGCCGAUGUCGGAUUAGAUAGUUGGCUUGGUAAAGGCCCACCAAGGCGACGAUCCGUAGCUGGUCUGAGAGGAUGAUCAGCCACACUGGAACUGAGACACGGUCCAGACUCCUACGGGAGGCAGCAGUGGGGAAUAUUGGGCAAUGGGCGCAAGCCUGAUCCAGCCAUACCGCGUGAGUGAAGAAGGCCUUCGGGUUGUAAAGCCCUUUUGUUGGGAAAGAAAAGCAGUAGGAUAAAACCCCGCUGUUCUGACGGUACCUAAAGAGUAAGCACCGGCUAACUACGUG